GACGGAGGGGGCAAGCGUUGUUCGGAAUUAUUGGGCGUAAAGGGCUCGUAGGCGGACCGGUGUGUCUGGCGUGAAAUCUCCACCGCUUAACAGGGAGGGGCCGCUGGAAACUGCCGAUCUUGAGUAUGGUAGAGGACCAUGGAAUUCCGGGUGUAGCGGUGGAAUGCGUAGAUAUCCGGAAGAACACCGGUGGCGAAAGCGGCUCUCUGGGACGGUACUGACGCUGAGACGCGAAAGCGUGGGGAGCAAACAGG
RNAcentral lists this ribosomal RNA (254 nucleotides) under uncultured bacterium. RNAcentral describes it as "partial 16S ribosomal RNA". It matches the Rfam family "Bacterial small subunit ribosomal RNA", at positions 524 to 776 of the family's 1533-position model. The record is from RNAcentral.